Molecule: ribosomal RNA, 485 nt
Filed under: uncultured bacterium
Lineage: Bacteria
Description: bacterial SSU rRNA
Rfam family: Bacterial small subunit ribosomal RNA
Source: RNAcentral
CGGCAUGCCUAAUACAUGCAAGUCGAACGAGAAAAGACCUUCGGGUGAGUACUAGUGGCGCACGGGUGAGUAACGCGUGGGUAAGUCUACCAUUCAGUGGGGAACGAACACACCGAAAGGUGUGCUAAUACCGCAUAAGACCAGAGUGUCCUUGGACAUAGGGGUUAAAGGGGGCUUUCGGGCUCUCGCUGAUUGAUGAGCUCGCGUCCCAUUAGCUUGUUGGUGGGGUAAUGGCCUACCAAGGCGACGAUGGGUAGCUGGUCUGAGAGGAUGAUCAGCCACACUGGAACUGAGACACGGUCCAGACUCCUACGGGAGGCAGCAGUAGGGAAUAUUGGACAAUGGGGGAAACCCUGAUCCAGCAAUGCCGCGUGAGUGAUGAAGGUCUAUGGAUCGUAAAGCUCUGUCGUAUAGGAAUAAAUGCCUGUGGUUAAUACCCGCAGGAGCUGAAGGUACUAUACAAGAAAGCACCGGCUAACUACGUG